UAAACUAAAUUUUUUUGGUGUUACAUAUAAUGCAGUAGUAGCAGCAGUAGCAAAAGUAGCAACAGCAGCAACAGCAGUAGCAAUAACAAUAUUACCAGUAGUAAUAGUAACAACGGUAAUAACAGUAGUAGAAAUAAUGGCAGUAGUAGGAAUAACAGCAGUGGCAGCUAUAGCUGUAUUAGCAAUAAUAGUAGUAACAGUGGUAGUAGUAGUAGUAGCAGUAGUAGAAAUAAUAAAAGUAGUAG
Molecule: long non-coding RNA, 245 nt
Filed under: Carica papaya (papaya)
Lineage: Eukaryota; Viridiplantae; Streptophyta; Magnoliopsida; Brassicales; Caricaceae
Description: long non-coding RNA (CPAP_LNC016169)
Source: RNAcentral